UGGGGAAUAUUAGGCAAUGGGCGAAAGCCUGAUGCAGCAACGCCGCGUGCGGGAAGACAGCCCUAGGGUUGUAAACCGCUUUCAGCAGGGAAGAAACUGACGGUACCUGCAGAAGAAGAUGCGGCCAACUACGUGCCAGCAGCCGCGGUGACACGUAGGCAUCAAGCGUUAUCCGGAUUUAUUGGGCGUAAAGAGCUCGUAGGCGGUUCGGUAAGUCGGGUGUGAAAACUCUGGGCUCAACCCAGAGAGGCCACUCGAUACUGCUGUGACUAGAGUGCGGUAGGGGAGCGGGGAAUUCCUGGUGUAGCGGUGAAAUGCGCAGAUAUCAGGAGGAACACCAGUGGCGAAGGCGCCGCUCUGGGCCGUAACUGACGCUGAGGAGCGAAA
This 387-nucleotide ribosomal RNA is filed under the name uncultured bacterium. RNAcentral describes it as "bacterial SSU rRNA". It matches the Rfam family "Bacterial small subunit ribosomal RNA", at positions 355 to 758 of the family's 1533-position model. The record is from RNAcentral.